Non-coding RNA from Jaminaea rosea, 82 nucleotides. Lineage: Eukaryota; Fungi; Basidiomycota; Exobasidiomycetes; Microstromatales. The record is from the annotation of a RefSeq genome assembly.
UUUCCUGUGGUUUAACGGCUAGGACGUCCGCUUGUCAUUACAUAAUGUGCGGGAGCCCCGGGUUCGACUCCCGGCAGGAAAG